UUUGAUAACCAUCGGUUGUGGGGCUGUGUUUCGGCCACAGUGUUGGGUUGUGUCGACUCUAUCAAAG
Molecule: transfer RNA, 67 nt
Filed under: Metagonimus yokogawai
Lineage: Eukaryota; Metazoa; Platyhelminthes; Trematoda; Opisthorchiida; Heterophyidae
Description: tRNA-Arg
Source: RNAcentral